CCAGCUCCACCACAAUCGUUGAAACUACCACCCUCAGUCCCCGGUGCCACAACAACAAGCCCAGAAUCACCAACUGUCACUUCAACACCAUCAGUAAGCACCACCACAUUACCACCUGUACCCACAACUAAGGGAACAACAGGAAGUGCUGAAACAACCCAACCAGAAAGGACCACCACUGGCCCAGUGACCAGCUCCACCACAAUCGUUGAAACUACCACCUCAGUCCCCGGUGCCACAACAACAAGCCCAGAAUCAUCAACUGUCACUUCAACACCAUCAGUAAGCACCACCACAUUACCACCUGUACCCACAACUAAGGGAACAACAGGAAGUGCUGAAACAACCCAACCAGAAAGGACCACCACUGGCCCAGUGACCAGCUCCACCACAAUCGUUGAAACUACCACCUCAGUCCCCGGUGCCACAACAACAAGCCCAGAAUCACCAACUGUCACUUCAACACCAUCAGUAAGCACCACCACAUUACCACCUGUACCCACAACUAAGGGAACAACAGCAAGUGCUGAAACAACCCAACCAGAAAGGACCACCACUGGCCCAGUGACCAGCUCCACCACAAUCGUUGAAACUACCACCUCAGUCCCCGGUGCCACAACAACAAGCCCAGAAUCACCAACUGUCACUUCAACACCAUCAGUAAGCACCACCACAUUACCACCUGUACCCACAACUAAGGGAACAACAGGAAGUGCUGAAACAACCCAACCAGAAAGGACCACCACUGGCCCAGUGACCAGCUCCACCACAAUCGUUGAAACUACCACCUCAGUCCCUGGUGCCACAACAACAAGCCCAGAAUCAUCAACUGUCACUUCAACACCAUCAGUAAGCACCACCACAUUACCACCUGUACCCACAACUAAGGGAACAACAGCAAGUGCUGAAACAACCCAACCAGAAAGGACCACCACUGGCCCAGUGACCAGCUCCACCACAAUCGUUGAAACUACCACCUCAGUCCCCGGUGCCACAACAACAAGCCCAGAAUCACCAACUGUCACUUCAACACCAUCAGUAAGCACCACCACAUUACCACCUGUACCCACAACUAAGGGAACAACAGGAAGUGCUGAAACAACCCAACCAGAAAGGACCACCACUGGCCCAGUGACCAGCUCCACCACAAUCGUUGAAACUACCACCUCAGUCCCCGGUGCCACAACAACAAGCCCAGAAUCAUCAACUGUCACUUCAACACCAUCAGUAAGCACCACCACAUUACCACCUGUACCCACAACUAAGGGAACAACAGGAAGUGCUGAAACAACCCAACCAGAAAGGACCACCACUGGCCCAGUGACCAGCUCCACCACAAUCGUUGAAACUACCACCUCAGUCCCCGGUGCCACAACAACAAGCCCAGAAUCACCAACUGUCACUUCAACACCAUCAGUAAGCACCACCACAUUACCACCUGUACCCACAACUAAGGGAACAACAGCAAGUGCUGAAACAACCCAACCAGAAAGGACCACCACUGGCCCAGUGACCAGCUCCACCACAAUCGUUGAAACUACCACCUCAGUCCCUGGUGCCACAACAACAAGCCCAGAAUCAUCAACUGUCACUUCAACACCAUCAGUAAGCACCACCACAUUACCACCUGUACCCACAACUAAAGGAACAACCAGUAGUGCUGAAACAACCCGACCAGAAAGGACCACCACUGGCCCAGUGACCAGUUCCACCACAAGGGUUAUUGAAAGUACCACCUCAGUCCCUGGUGCCACAACAACAAGCCCAGAAUCACCAACUGUCACUUCAACACCAUCAGUAAGCACCACCACAUUACCACCUGUACCCACAACUAAGGGAACAACAGGAAGUGCUGAAACAACCCAACCAGAAAGGACCACCACUGGCCCAGUGACCAGCUCCACCACAAUCGUUGAAACUACCACCUCAGUCCCCGGUGCCACAACAACAAGCCCAGAAUCACCAACUGUCACUUCAACACCAUCAGUAAGCACCACCACAUUACCACCUCCAUCCACAACUAAGGGAACAACAGGAAGUGCUGAAACAACCCAACCAGAAAGGACCACCACUGGCCCAGUGACCAGUUCCACCACAAGGGUUAUUGAAAGUACCACCUCAGUCCCUGGUGCCACAACAACAAGCCCAGAAUCAUCAACUGUCACUUCAACACCAUCAGUAAGCACCACCACAUUACCACCUCCAUCCACAACUAAGGGAACAACAGGAAGUGUUGAAACAACCCAACCAGAAAGGACCACCACUGGCCCAGUGACCAGCUCCACCACAAUCGUUGAAACUACCACCUCAGUUCCCGGUGCCACAACAACAAGCCCAGAAUCACCAACUGUCACUUCAACACCAUCAGUAAGCACCACCACAUUACCACCUGUACCCACAACUAAGGGAACAACAGGAAGUGCUGAAACAACCCAACCAGAAAGGACCACCACUGGCCCAGUGACCAGCUCCACCACAAUCGUUGAAACUACCACCUCAGUCCCCGGUGCCACAACAACAAGCCCAGAAUCACCAACUGUCACUUCAACACCAUCAGUAAGCACCACCACAUUACCACCUGUACCCACAACUAAGGGAACAACAGGAAGUGCUGAAACAACCCAACCAGAAAGGACCACCACUGGCCCAGUGACCAGCUCCACCACAAUCGUUGAAACUACCACCUCAGUCCCCGGUGCCACAACAACAAGCCCAGAAUCACCAACUGUCACUUCAACACCAUCAGUAAGCACCACCACAUUACCACCUCCAUCCACAACUAAGGGAACAACAGGAAGUGCUGAAACAACCCAACCAGAAAGGACCACCACUGGCCCAGUGACCAGCUCCACCACAAUCGUUGAAACUACCACCUCAGUCCCCGGUGCCACAACAACAAGCCCAGAAUCACCAACUGUCACUUCAACACCAUCAGUAAGCACCACCACAUUACCACCUGUACCCACAACUAAGGGAACAACAGGAAGUGCUGAAACAACCCAACCAGAAAGGACCACCACUGGCCCAGUGACCAGCUCCACCACAAUCGUUGAAACUACCACCUCAGUCCCCGGUGCCACAACAACAAGCCCAGAAUCAUCAACUGUCACUUCAACACCAUCAGUAAGCACCACCACAUUACCACCUCCAUCCACAACUAAGGGAACAACAGGAAGUGUUGAAACAACCCAACCAGAAAGGACCACCACUGGCCCAGUGACCAGCUCCACCACAAUCGUUGAAACUACCACCUCAGUUCCCGGUGCCACAACAACAAGCCCAGAAUCACCAACUGUCACUUCAACACCAUCAGUAAGCACCACCACAUUACCACCUCCAUCCACAACUAAGGGAACAACAGGAAGUGUUGAAACAACCCAACCAGAAAGGACCACCACUGGCCCAGUGACCAGCUCCACCACAAGGGUUAUUGAAAGUACCACCUCAGUCCCUGGUGCCACAACAACAAGCCCAGAAUCAUCAACUGUCACUUCAACACCAUCAGUAAGCACCACCACAUUACCACCUCCAUCCACAACUAAGGGAACAACAGGAAGUGCUGAAACAACCCAACCAGAAAGGACCACCACUGGCCCAGUGACCAGUUCCACCACAAGGGUUAUUGAAAGUACCACCUCAGUCCCUGGUGCCACAACAACAAGCCCAGAAUCAUCAACUGUCACUUCAACACCAUCAGUAAGCACCACCACAUUACCACCUCCAUCCACAACUAAGGGAACAACAGGAAGUGCUGAAACAACCCAACCAGAAAGGACCACCACUGGCCCAGUGACCAGUUCCACCACAAGGGUUAUUGAAAGUACCACCUCAGUCCCUGGUGCCACAACAACAAGCCCAGAAUCAUCAACUGUCACUUCAACACCAUCAGUAAGCACCACCACAUUACCACCUCCAUCCACAACUAAGGGAACAACAGGAAGUGUUGAAACAACCCAACCAGAAAGGACCACCACUGGCCCAGUGACCAGCUCCACCACAAUCGUUGAAACUACCACCUCAGUUCCCGGUGCCACAACAACAAGCCCAGAAUCACCAACUGUCACUUCAACACCAUCAGUAAGCACCACCACAUUACCACCUCCAUCCACAACUAAGGGAACAACAGGAAGUGCUGAAACAACCCAACCAGAAAGGACCACCACUGGCCCAGUGACCAGUUCCACCACAAGGGUUAUUGAAAGUACCACCUCAGUCCCUGGUGCCACAACAACAAGCCCAGAAUCAUCAACUGUCACUUCAACACCAUCAGUAAGCACCACCACAUUACCACCUCCAUCCACAACUAAGGGAACAACAGGAAGUGUUGAAACAACCCAACCAGAAAGGACCACCACUGGCCCAGUGACCAGCUCCACCACAAUCGUUGAAACUACCACCUCAGUUCCCGGUGCCACAACAACAAGCCCAGAAUCACCAACUGUCACUUCAACACCAUCAGUAAGCACCACCACAUUACCACCUGUACCCACAACUAAGGGAACAACAGGAAGUGCUGAAACAACCCAACCAGAAAGGACCACCACUGGCCCAGUGACCAGCUCCACCACAAUCGUUGAAACUACCACCUCAGUCCCCGGUGCCACAACAACAAGCCCAGAAUCACCAACUGUCACUUCAACACCAUCAGUAAGCACCACCACAUUACCACCUCCAUCCACAACUAAGGGAACAACAGGAAGUGCUGAAACAACCCAACCAGAAAGGACCACCACUGGCCCAGUGACCAGUUCCACCACAAGGGUUAUUGAAAGUACCACCUCAGUCCCUGGUGCCACAACAACAAGCCCAGAAUCACCAACUGUCACUUCAACACCAUCAGUAAGCACCACCACAUUACCACCUGCAUCCACAACUAAGGGAACAACAGGAAGUGUUGAAACAACCCAACCAGAAAGGACCACCACUGGCCCAGUGACCAGCUCCACCGCAAUCGUUGAAACUACCACCUCAGUUCCCGGUGCCACAACAACAAGCCCAGAAUCACCAACUGUCACUUCAACACCAUCAGUAAGCACCACCACAUUACUACCUCCAUCCACAACUAAGGGAACAACAGGAAGUGCUGAAACAACCCAACCAGAAAGGACCACCACUGGCCCAGUGACCAGUUCCACCACAAGGGUUAUUGAAAGUACCACCUCAGUCCCUGGUGCCACAACAACAAGCCCAGAAUCAUCAACUGUCACUUCAACACCAUCAGUAAGCACCACCACAUUACCACCUGUACCCACAACUAAAGGAACAACCAGUAGUGCUGAAACAACCCGACCAGAAAGGACCACCACUGGCCCAGUGACCAGUUCCACCACAAGGGUUAUUGAAAGUACCACCUCAGUCCCUGGUGCCACAACAACAAGCCCAGAAUCACCAACUGUCACUUCAACACCAUCAGUAAGCACCACCACAUUACCACCUCCAUCCACAACUAAGGGAACAACAGGAAGUGCUGAAACAACCCAACCAGAAAGGACCACCACUGGCCCAGUGACCAGUUCCACCACAAGGGUUAUUGAAAGUACCACCUCAGUCCCUGGUGCCACAACAACAAGCCCAGAAUCAUCAACUGUCACUUCAACACCAUCAGUAAGCACCACCACAUUACCACCUCCAUCCACAACUAAGGGAACAACAGGAAGUGUUGAAACAACCCAACCAGAAAGGACCACCACUGGCCCAGUGACCAGCUCCACCACAAUCGUUGUUGAAACUACCACCUCAGUCCCCGGUGCCACAACAACAAGCCCAGAAUCACCAACUGUCACUUCAACACCAUCAGUAAGCACCACCACAUUACCACCUGUACCCACAACUAAGGGAACAACAGGAAGUGCUGAAACAACCCAACCAGAAAGGACCACCACUGGCCCAGUGACCAGCUCCACCACAAGGGUUUUUGAAAAUACCACCUCAGUCCCUGGUGCCACAACAACAAGCCCAGAAUCAUCAACUGUCACUUCAACACCAUCAGUAAGCACCACCACAUUACCACCUCCAUCCACAACUAAGGGAACAACAGGAAGUGUUGAAACAACCCAACCAGAAAGGACCACCACUGGCCCAGUGACCAGCUCCACCACAAUCGUUGAAACUACCACCUCAGUCCCCGGUGCCACAACAACAAGCCCAGAAUCACCAACUGUCACUUCAACACCAUCAGUAAGCACCACCACAUUACCACCUGUACCCACAACUAAGGGAACAACAGGAAGUGCUGAAACAACCCAACCAGAAAGGACCACCACUGGCCCAGUGACCAGCUCCACCACAAGGGUUUUUGAAAAUACCACCUCAGUCCCUGGUGCCACAACAACAAGCCCAGAAUCAUCAACUGUCACUUCAACACCAUCAGUAAGCACCACCACAUUACCACCUCCAUCCACAACUAAGGGAACAACAGGAAGUGCUGAAACAACCCAACCAGAAAGGACCACCACUGGCCCAGUGACCAGCUCCACCACAAUCGUUGAAACUACCACCUCAGUCCCCGGUGCCACAACAACAAGCCCAGAAUCACCAACUGUCACUUCAACACCAUCAGUAAGCACCACCACAUUACCACCUCCAUCCACAACUAAGGGAACAACAGCAAGUGCUGAAACAACCCAACCAGAAAGGACCACCACUGGCCCAGUGACCAGCUCCACCACAAUCGUUGAAACUACCACCUCAGUCCCCGGUGCCACAACAACAAGCCCAGAAUCACCAACUGUCACUUCAACACCAUCAGUAAGCACCACCACAUUACCACCUGUACCCACAACUAAGGGAACAACAGGAAGUGCUGAAACAACCCAACCAGAAAGGACCACCACUGGCCCAGUGACCAGCUCCACCACAAGGGUUUUUGAAAAUACCACCUCAGUCCCUGGUGCCACAACAACAAGCCCAGAAUCAUCAACUGUCACUUCAACACCAUCAGUAAGCACCACCACAUUACCACCUCCAUCCCAACUAAGGGAACAACAGGAAGUGUUGAAACAACCCAACCAGAAAGGACCACCACUGGCCCAGUGA
Echeneis naucrates (live sharksucker) is the source of this 7035-nucleotide long non-coding RNA. The record is from Ensembl. NCBI's taxonomy places the organism in Eukaryota, Metazoa, Chordata, Actinopteri, Carangiformes, Echeneidae.